Molecule: ribosomal RNA, 443 nt
Filed under: uncultured bacterium
Lineage: Bacteria
Description: partial 16S ribosomal RNA
Rfam family: Bacterial small subunit ribosomal RNA
Source: RNAcentral
CCUACGGGAGGCAGCAGUGGGGAAUAUUGGGCAAUGGGCGCAAGCCUGACCCAGCAACGCCGCGUGAAGGAAGACGGCUUUCGGGUUGUAAACUUCUUUUCUGAGGGACGAAGAAAGUGACGGUACCUCAGGAAUAAGCCACGGCUAACUACGGGCCAGCAGCCGCGGUAAUACGUAGGGGGCAAGAGUUAUCCGGAUUUAUUGGGUGUAAAGGGCGUGUAGGCGGGAAAGCAAGUCAGAUGUGAAAGCUCAGGGCUCAACCCUGAGCCUGCAUUUGAAACUGUUUUUCUUGAGUGCUGGAGAGGCGAUCGGAAUUCCGGGUGUAGCGGUGAAAUGCGUAGAUAUCCGGAGGAACACCAGUGGCGAAGGCGGAUUGCUGGACAGUAACUGACGCUGAGGCGCGAAAGCGUGGGGAGCAAACAGGAUUAGAUACCCGUGUAGUC